GACGAACGCUGGCGGCGUGCUUAACACAUGCAAGUCGAGCGGUAAGGCCCUUUCGGGGGUACGACGAGCGGCGAACGGGUGAGUAACACGUGGGUGACCUGCCCUUAGCUCUGGGAUAAGCCUGGGAAACUGGGUCUAAUACCGGAUAUGACCUCAUGACUCAUGUUGUGGGGUGGAAAGCCUUGUGCGGCUAGGGAUGGGCCCGCGGUCUAUCAGCUUGUUGGUGGGGUAAUUGCCUACCAAGGCGACGACGGGUAGCCGGCCUGAGAGGGCGACCGGCCACACUGGGACUGAGACACGGCCCAGACUCCUACGGGAGGCAGCAGUGGGGAAUCUUGCGCAAUGGGCGAAAGCCUGACGCAGCGACGCCGCGUGAGGGAUGAC
Molecule: ribosomal RNA, 384 nt
Filed under: uncultured bacterium
Lineage: Bacteria
Description: bacterial SSU rRNA
Rfam family: Bacterial small subunit ribosomal RNA
Source: RNAcentral